AGAGUUUGAUCAUGGCUCAGAUUGAACGCUGGCGGCAUGCUUUACACAUGCAAGUCGAGCGGCAGCGCGGGGGCAACCCUGGCGGCGAGCGGCGAACGGGUGAGGAAUACAUCGGAACGUACCCCGGAGUGGGGGAUAACCCAGCGAAAGUUGGGCUAAUACCGCAUAUGCUCUGAGGAGGAAAGUGGGGGACCGCAAGGCCUCACGCUCUGGGAGCGGCCGAUGUCCGAUUAGCUUGUUGGUGGGGUAAUGGCCUACCAAGGCGACGAUCGGUAGCUGGUCUGAGAGGAUGAUCAGCCACACUGGGACUGAGACACGGCCCAGACUCCUACGGGAGGCAGCAGUGGGGAAUUUUGGACAAUGGGGGCAACCCUGAUCCAGCCAUGCCGCGUGCGGGAAGAAGGCCUUCGGGUUGUAAACCGCUUUUGGUCGGGAAGAAAAGGCGCCACCUAAUACGGGGCGUUCUUGACGGUACCGGCAGAAUAAGCACCGGCUAACUACGUGCCAGCAGCCGCGGUAAUACGUAGGGUGCGAGCGUUAAUCGGAAUUACUGGGCGUAAAGCGUGCGCAGGCGGUUUGUUAAGUCUGAUGUGAAAGCCCCGGGCUCAACCUGGGAAUGGCAUUGGAAACUGGCAGGCUCGAGUAUGGCAGAGGGGGGUGGAAUUCCGCGUGUAGCAGUGAAAUGCGUAGAGAUGCGGAGGAACACCGAUGGCGAAGGCAGCCCCCUGGGCCAAUACUGACGCUCAGGCACGAAAGCGUGGGGAGCAAACAGGAUUAGAUACCCUAGUAGUCC
RNAcentral lists this ribosomal RNA (793 nucleotides) under uncultured bacterium. Its description in RNAcentral is "bacterial SSU rRNA". It matches the Rfam family "Bacterial small subunit ribosomal RNA", at positions 8 to 796 of the family's 1533-position model. The record is from RNAcentral.